RNAcentral lists this ribosomal RNA (253 nucleotides) under uncultured bacterium. RNAcentral's name for it is "partial 16S ribosomal RNA". It matches the Rfam family "Bacterial small subunit ribosomal RNA", at positions 524 to 776 of the family's 1533-position model. The record is from RNAcentral.
UACGUAGGGGGCAAGCGUUGUCCGGAAUCAUUGGGCGUAAAGAGCGUGUAGGCGGCCAGAUAAGUCCGCUGUGAAAUCUCGAGGCUCAACUUCGAGCUGUCGGUGGAAACUAUCUGGCUAGAGUCCGGAAGAGGAGAAUGGAAUUCCUGGUGUAGCGGUGAAAUGCGCAGAUAUCGGGAAGAACACCCGUGGCGAAGGCGGUUCUCUGGGACGGUACUGACGCUGAGACGCGAAAGCGUGGGGAGCGAACAGG